AUGAGAUGCCCACAAUGCAUUUAUAUAACAAAAGUGUAAUUGCUCCGCAAAUCUUAAUGGUUCCACCCGGUUAAGAAUGAUGUAAACAUGUAGGCCUAUGUGAUGACUAUCUCCGGUAUUGGGAGGAAUUAUCUUCUGUGCCUAUGCGUGUCAUUCAUCAACUAUGUAUACCCGUAUUGUCCAUGUAUGCCAAGACCAAAUUGAAGUCACGUUUUGGAUAUUUUGGAUUUUAUGUCAAUGAAACAAAAGCGAGUUUCGUGAGCAUGCAUGCCGGGUCUAGAGCAUUCAGUUAUAGCUCUCCAGCCAGGUUGGUUUUUUAAUUAAACUGGUAAAGUUAGACCGAUGUGCGUUAAAAUAGAGAAAUGUCACGCUUCUUUCUUUGUACACGGGUCAUAGGUAGCUCUCUAUAGACCAGUACAUUAUAAACGCAGGAGGUUAAGUCGAUAUUAAAGAUAAUUAUAACUUGGGAGUUUUAUUACUGUACGCUGUUUCAAUUAGUAAAAGACCAGUCCCUGUUCGGGAUAGGCCCAGUGCAUAGCCAUGGGAAUAAACGGGCCUGAGCGACAAGUGGGACAGCCAUGGAAAAACACUAGUUUUAGUGUGUGCGUGCGCGUGCGCGUGUGUCCUGCUGUGACUCAGAUGGACAUGGCGAAACCGUCCCAAACAAAAAAAAAAGUAAUUUUCCACAGAACUUUGUGGUCUGUCCUGUCUCAUAACGUUAGCCUCAUAGCAUAAUUGCCUACGUCAUAUUUUGGCCAAAUUGUGAUAUCUAACCUCACUCUGCUUUCCUAACGCUGCUGAUUCACUGUGCCUCAUUGGCUUUAUCCUUAACCAAUCAAAGAGUUCUUAGAUUCCACAAUCUUUAUCUCCCUCAGUCAUCUAUUUGACAAGAUGAACCUUAAAAUAGCUCCUAUGCAAUUAUGCUAUGAGGACAACGAUAUCUUCACUGUAGCGGUGCUGAUAAUGGGUGUAGAGAGUUGAAGACCAAAACAACAAAGACAUUUUGAAGAUGUAUGUUAAGUAGAAAAUAGUAUACCUUGGAAGUGUAUCAUAGUUAUAUGGUAAUUGUUCCAGCAUGUCUAAUUGGGAAUAUUCUUGCCAGCAAUAGCAGUGUUACAUCCUUUGCUUCUUUAAUGAGGCCAAUGUGAACUUGCUGAACAAAAAAAGCAAGCCUCUUGCAUUAUCAAGCCUCUACAGUUUAUAUUCCAGCGUCCAUGAAGUGGUUACAAGCCCCCUUAUUAUGAACACAAUGGUAACCACAGUCGUGAUGCAUGUGGUUAACCACCACUUGACCCGUCGCCUUGCUUCAUGUUAUAAUACCACUGCUUGCCACACAAUUUAAUAUAAUGUAAUGUGGUCCGAUUAAGAUUGACCACAGAGUUAUUCACAACUGGAACCAGACUGGCAUAAAGAGGAUCCUGUAACCUCAGCACUUCUUCUACAAUGCAUGCCACCGGCGCUCACGGGCAGACACAGCGCUGAGUGGCGAGCAUUGAGCAGGAAGGCCAGACAUACUCGCUGCCGGGGAAGCCCAGUGUUGUGGCAGGAGAUGUGGAAUGGGCCUGUCUUCUAAAAAUCCCCCCUUCGGCCGGUACAAUGCCACGGAAUGCAAGGGCCGAGGGAUCCAGAUUCAGUGGACUCUCUGGGGGCUUGCAAACCCAGGAGCCAUGGACCUUGAUGGUGUAUUGGCCAGCCUGUUCAGAAGCUCCCCACCUAAAAGGGUACCGGCUUCGAUCCCAUGUAUCCACAAGCUACCUGAAAGAUGCCUACCUAUCUUCUCCAUAAUACAUUAUAUAUUAUAUUUUAUUAUAUUUUAUUGUAUGCUUCUGAAUUCAGUUUAAGUGGCUUUGUAUCAUCCCACCUAAAUGUCAAAAUUAGAAGUCACUGUAAACAGGAGCCCGUCAUAAUACUCACCCCAGCUCAGUGAUCAUCAUGCAGUCUUUACCUGAGGAGUGCAGGGGGACUGAUGGGCUGUUUGUGACUCAGCAUCUCAGUGCCGAGGACCUCAGGAUGAAAGGAGGCCACAAUCAGAGAGAAUGGAGCGAGCUGGGACAGAAAUAGUGCAGGAACCUAGUUUUCUGAGUGCGUUGUUGCAUGCAUGCAUUGCAUUCCUGAGUAUGGCUGUAGAAAUGGGUGGGUCUUUUUUAAAUGUGUUCCUUUUUAAAUGUUUAAUGUGUAAAGUACCAUCCAUUCUAUGGAUAAAAUGUAAUAAUGCAAUUCUUAUUCUUUUUUGUUAAAGCUUGAAACUUGUUAGUUGUUGUUUAUUAAAAUUGACAGGCCUGAACUACAUCAACCACUGAAUUUUGGACUUUACCUUUUUGUCAAUAUUGACAAACUGUUCUCUGUAUGACUCUUUUCAAACACGGAAAUCGCCAUCCUUGAGCCGCAUUCACCCAGAUAGCACAGAUUAUGCAACCCUUGUAUCCGAUUGGCCUACUCCAAUGCACAAUGCUGUCACUCAACAUAGUUUGUACUGCAUGUGACAGUUUAAAACCAAACUUUCUGAAGCAUUCGGAGAGCAAAACGUGUUAUAACCUUUGUGCGCACCAGAGAUGCUCAGAACGUGCUGGUCCCAGGUCCCUCUGGCUUGGUACGUUGCUUAUGUUCCAAAACUGAACUUAAGCUUCCAUUAAUCAUCCGAGUCACCCGGUGACCCAAUGUCAUGCACUUUCUCAUCCCAUAAUCCACAACGCAGCCUCCCCCUGUGUUCCCAGGGUCCCUGAGAAGUCACCGUGUUCCCUGACUGUAAACCACAGAAAACGCCUCGCUGCAGCCUCAGCGGACACACCCAUACUCGUCUUUGAUUCGUACUUAUGAAUGUGAUGGAUUGACACAGGCACUCAAGUGGGCUUCUGCAGCCUAGUUUCUCUCGUGAUCUUCAAUAGAAGCAUUCAUGAACCAAUAAUAAUCGUCAUCUUCCCGACACAUAAGCAUAAUCCCUGUAUCGAUCGCCCCAGGGGACUGAUAUUCGCCAACACCACAUAGCAGAGAAACAAACACAGGCCAGCAACCGCUUAACCAGCAUCAGGCAAACAGGGAGGUAGAGUGGGUUCCAGCGGGUCAUUAAACAAGCUGAUAGCAGGUAGCUAUACCUUCCUGUGGAACAGGGCAGCACCAGCAGUCAUCUGCUCACAUCUGCAGUCUGAUUGUUUCAUUGUAACACAGUGCACCCCUUCGUUGACACCUCCUCUAUGACGACUGCUGAUAUGGACUGCAGUAGGAAAGCCCGGCCUUGAAUAUCCUCUUGUAGUGGACUGUUUCUACAUUAGAUGUUUGUUGUCUUCGAGACGAAUGCCAACCAUUGUGUCACUCAUGUUCAAGAUGCAACUUAAUUCUGGUUAUUGCUUAACCUCAUGACAUUCAUCAAAAUGAAUGCUGCAAUGUUAAAAUGGAAAACCAGCGGUUAUCAAUAAUAGACUGGAUGGAUUAGAAUUGGCUAUAAAAGUGGUUGGGGUUGUACCUUUCCAGAUAAGAAAUAAAAUAAAGAGCAAACAAACCUCUUAUGAGAUUAUGCCAUGAAUGACGUGCCAUAUACUAAUGCACCUAACCAUUGGAGUUUAUUUCACAAAUAGGGUGUGUCAAUACUUACGAUGAACCAUACUUCUAAAGUAACGGCUACUCUUAACCGCAAAACACUGCAAGCGGCAUCUCCUGCACGGGACAAUAAAACAUUCUGUUUUAGUUAUUCAAUGUAUCCAUCCUCCUCCUCCUUCUGAAAAGUGUUCUUUAUUAAAGAGCACUCAAAAAGUACAAGGUAAUUGGAUGAGAUGCAACUGUUUAACAUUUAAUAACUGAAGCAUACAGACACACUUACACAUCUAUCAUCCCUCCCUCUCUCAUUUUUCCUUCAUAGAAACAAUGUUCCACUCGAACGCAUCCAAACAAUUUCCAUCCUCCAGACAUUCUCUCUCUCUCUCUCUCUCUCUCUCUCUCUCUCUCUCUCUCUCUCUCUCUCUCUCUCUCUCUCAUUCCAUCCAUUUCUCCAGUAGAAAUGAAAUGAAUAAAUGUAAACCGAUGUGUUGAGAUCUGCAUGUUGAAGGUUGAAUUCACGUCUUGUGCAGGAGCGAGAAAAUGUCCUUAAUAGCAUUUUUGUUUUGGCCUCCCUCACGUUUUGAUACUUGGAGGAGCGGCCCUUUUUUACAUUUAUACAGAGUCAACACAGUAUUUUUGUGUCAAAGGAAGACUUCUUUGAUUAUUUUUUUUCAUCUUGAAAUUAUGUUUAGAGCUUCUUGCCAUUCUGCUCGCAAUGCAAACAAAAUAAUUGGUCACAUUGCAUCCUUGAAUAGAAACCAAUUCCAUUUCUCAAUUUCCACUGCCUUUUCAUAUCAUAUCUACUGUGUGCAUGAGUGCUGGCGUGUGUCUGUGUGAAUGUGUGUGCAAGCCUACUUGUGUGUAGUUAAGCACUGUGAUGGUGCACACUUCUCCCCAUGUCGUCAUGCUCACACACACACACACACACAUACACACACACACACACACACACACACACACACACACACACACACACACACACACACACACACACACACACACACACACACACACACACACACACCCCCACCCCCACACACACACUCCCCGCGGGCCCUGCAGUGGCUAAUUGACCUCAAUCUGUCUCCAUAGUGCGUUAAUGUCAGUGAUUUGCAUUACCUGAUAGAUGGAUGGAUGCUAUGGGUGGCUUGGUCAUUCUAUAGAUGCAGCCGCCAUCCUUUCACUCAGUCCUACAGACCAUCCAUACAGAAUUGAACGGUCCUGAACGAAAAUCUUCACUGUCAACGACAGUUUAAAAUCAAUAGUGAUUCUGCAAGUGAGGCUGCAUUAUUGAACAGUUUUCAGGGUUUGGCUGCAUGGUGUUCUGGUGUCUGCUAGCUAGACGUUAUAGAUGUUGUUUUGUGCCCCAGAGGACUGGUCUUUCCGUCAGGCAGCCAGGGGGGAUGUGAUCAAGGAAGGCCCCGUUGCCCCCCAGGAAAACAACAAUGGAGGCUGCGCUGCACCCCAGCAGUCAAAGGAGGCGGGGCUACUUCUGUUGGGGGCGGGGGAACCAGGCCAACUCGAUCCCCAGGGCUGAUGGGGUUAUGCCUCAAGGUUCAAAUAGGGUUCCAAAUAAGGGUAGAUUUAACACGUGUCCGUGUAGUCCUGCAUGCGUAAGCGUCAUAAUCCCAAAUAUCCCAUCAGGGUUUAACAUAUGACUCUCUAAUCUUAUAGACUCGGAGGGUGAGGAAAGACCACCGUCAAUUUCCACUUCAAAUGAGAAAAUUGUCCGUUGUAGGAAAUCAUCUGAUGACAAGUGGGAAGAUUGCAGCGCUUAACCAAGCCUUGGUUCUCCUCUGGGUCCGUGACCACUGCUGUGCUGCAGAGCAUUAUAUCGUUGAAGAGGGAGACUCUCUCAGCCCCCCUCCCAGCUCAUCCAUUACCCAGCAGUCCCCUGCUGGGACUCGGGGCUGUAGCUCACCAUGGGGAUGGCUGCUGCACCCCACUCACCCACUCCUACGCCCCAUGCCCCUCAUACUUUUCUCAGGCACAGCUGAAGACCUCCUCCAGCAUGGGGCUGACAGUGGGCGGGAGGGCGUGAUUAUCUUGGGCUUGGGGGUGUACCAACCUUUACAUGGUUUCAGUAUGCUUCAGUACACAGCUCCUAAACAGAGGACCAUUACAGCUUCACUGAAUACAGUUCCAUUCUGAGUACAGUAGAAGGAGGCAAUCGAGACGAUCCUUGGAAGUCAAGGGGUUAUUUAUUGCGUUAUCUUCAUUUUAAUUAACACUCUGCCUCUCCCAGAUGUCUUAGUUUCGGAGGCUCGUUUUAUUUGGUCUUCCAAAACAGAUUCUCUCAAGCAACUCCACACUUCACAAACAGUACACACACACACACACACACACACACACACACACACACACACACACACACACACACACACACACACACACACACACACACACACACACACACACACACACACACACACACA
Molecule: long non-coding RNA, 5966 nt
Organism: Gadus macrocephalus (Pacific cod)
Lineage: Eukaryota; Metazoa; Chordata; Actinopteri; Gadiformes; Gadidae
Exons: 2
Source: RefSeq, a predicted model, not a curated record